Molecule: long non-coding RNA, 3133 nt
Filed under: Pandoravirus dulcis
Description: putative ncRNA
Source: RNAcentral
CGGCGCGUCAAAGUCCACGAUGCGGCGCGCCUCAAGCGUACGCCAUGCGCCCAGCGGACACGCGCACAUGCCCGAUGCGGCGGCGCUUGGCGUCACGCCCCACGAUUGCCACGGGCAGCGCGCCAGCAGGCGCCCGAUGCGCACGGGGUCGCCCGAGGCCAGCGUCGUGCUGGCCCACGUGCCCAGAUCGAAAGCGAGGCGCGGUGAGACGCGCGCCCACGGCGACUGGGUCGUCCAACGUACGAUAGCAUCAAAGCACACGACGUCUUGCGCGCGGUCGAGCGCUGCGGCGAUCGACACAUCGGCCCACGGUAUGCAAAACGGCCCGGCGGCGGCCCAGUCGAGCGCGUCGGUGUGACCGCGCGCGAGGGCAUCGACCGCGUACGAGGGCGGCAAGGUCGGGCGGCGGGCGGCAGUGGCAUCGUCGGUGCGGCGUCGCUUGUAUGCGCGUGUCGACGCCGAUUGAGGUCUCCCGCUGCGCAUCUGGGACGCGUCUCUGUCGACACCCGCGUGUACGGGUGGCAAUCCCAAAAGGAGUGCCGCGCACGCAACGUGUCCAUGGGCAACGGCGAUCGAGGCGCACGACGCCGGCCACUGUUUGGCGCGUGCUGUAAGCACACCGAGCAGGCCGAGGUCGCCCCGCUCGGCCGCCACGACCCAGAGCCCCUGUGUGGGCGAUGGCGUGGCGCCGUCGGCCAGCCACGCGAGAAUGUCGACGCGGUUGGAUUUGGCCGCCGCGUCGGCGAUGGCGUCUGCCGCGCGCGUCCUGUGCCGGUCCGAAAUGUGAGGCCACGACACGAGCACAAUGUCCAGGCGCCCGGCGUCGGUGGCGGCGACGAGCGCCGGCGUCAGAUCCACGCCGCCAAAGGGGUCCGCUCGGAUGGGACAGUCGGCGAGCACGCGGACCAGAGCGUCCGCGCAGCCGCCUCGACCCAUGUCUCGAAUCCACCGCGCAAGGCGCGCGGGUUCGAGGUAAGCCGGCAUGCCGAUGCGGUCCAGCAGGUCGGCCCGGCCGGCGCCUAUGACGGCGUCGAGUGCGUGGUCGGUGGGCCAUAUGCGUGGGUAGUGGGCGACGACGCGGACGAGACCGACACCCAGACCGGGCGCCUGCAGAGUCUUGUCGUUGUGCCAGUCAAACGAACCACACGCAAAGCCCUUGCGUGCCGCGCACGCGUGGCAGCGGCGCCACAGGACGAUGGCCGUGUCGAUGGCGUCAGCACGACCCGAGCGCACCGCGGCCGAUACGAUGCCGCACGAGAUUGUCUCGUGGCUGUCGUCGAGGCCGACGGCGCGGCGGUCAUUGUCGGCCAGAGCGCCAUCUCUGUCAUGGCGGUUGCCAGCGAGACCGUCGACGGCGCCAAAGACCUCGGCCACAGAGACUGACGCACGUAUAUCAGACACUGCCGCCGUUGAAUGAGCCAGAGGGCGCUCUGGCGCGACGUCGGUCAUGUAAUCGCCGUAUGCGCGCGCGGCCUCCAUGGCAACGUCCAUGCGCCCGGCCAGCGCCGCUGCGAUCGCCAUGCGGCGACACGCAACCGGACGAUCGAGAAACAUAUCGGCAAAUUCGCGCCACACCCAUGAGAGCGCGUCGUCGGGCCGCGCGCUCGCUGCGGCGGCGCCGAUCACGAGCAUCGAAUCCGUAAUGAGCCAGCGCCUGCCAUCGCGGGAACCGCGCCACAUGCGUGCCCCCUUUUGCCAUGCGUCGACGCCACCGCAGUGCAGGACUCGGCACAUGACGGCGCGGGCGGUCUUGGGCCACGCGCGCCACAGCGCCGUGAGCAACCGCUCGUCGGCAUCGCCGCUCGACUGGUCCCGUGUGACAUCACCGGCAUCGUCCUCCUUUAGGGCGACGAUGGCGUCGCUGCAGUCGCGUGCCAGGGCCCAGUGGGCACGCGCCAGGGCGACGUCAAUGAUCUCUUGGCAGCCUUUGUAGUGGAGGCCCCCCGCCGCGGCAAUCCACACCGCCACGCCAAGGUGCCCGGCAGCGAGGGCCGCCGCAAAUGGGUGGCCGUCGGGUUGCGUGUCAGUCGCGGCUCGACGACAAAAGAUCCAAUCGAGAAAGGCGGCACAGUUGGCGCACCACGGCUGGCAGCGCCGCGUCGGGGCGUCCCUAGGCGUGAAAUCGACGCAGCACGCACACCGCGCAUCGCCGUACCAAAGGAGGGCCGCGCGUGCAUAGAGAGCAUGCACGAGAUCCAAUCUCCCCGAGGCGGCGGCUGCCGUCAUGGCGGCCGGCAAACAUGCGUGUGCGCCGUCCAACGAUGGUCCGUGGAGGCGUGCCGUCGCAGACGCUGUUGGCGCGCCCCGAAUGGGACAAAACCCGCGGGGCCGGCGCGCAUCUCUGACCAAUCGGUCUCGGGCACGCGCCGCACACGGACAGACACCGCCAGCACUGUCCACGGCGCGUGCGAGGGCCUGCCGACCCAUGGCGGCCUCGCCGAGGACCCAAAAGAGGCGCGACGCCGCCAGGCACGCGCCGACGGCCGACGGCGGCAACCACGAGAGAAGCGCUGCGAUGACUUCGGCGGGCAUAGCCUCUAGCGACAGUUGGCCGCUUCCGGCCGGCGUCGGCUCCAUCGUCGAUGAAUCCAUUUUUUCUUUCUUUUUUUUUCUCCUUUUCCAACGAGAAACACUCACGGCGCCCAGCGACGAUGGGCGAGCAACGUAGAAAAAAAGAGGAUGAGGGACCGGAGAUGACGAGUCUGUGAGCGCACGCACACCAGCCAGAGGCGCCCCGCCUCGGGAUGAAUGGCGCGCCAAUAGGCCAUUCUCCAACGAAAAAAUUCAAGGCCGACAGAAAGCCAUAGAGCGAAAGCGCGGCGACGACACCGCGCGAAAAAAAACGGAAAGAACGGCCAUGUGCACAGAACCCAAAUUGGAUCCUCAGCGUCGCCAUUGUUCUCUCUCUCUCUCUCUCUCUCUUAUAUCCUAUAUAUGUGGUCGUCCUCGAUUUCGGGCUGGUCUUGCUUUGCACGGCCACGCAAGGCGGUCGAAACAAAAAAAAGAGCAAGGACAAAAAUGCAUGGAAAAAAAGGUGGCAAGAUGUAUUGCGCUGUUGGGGAGAACUCGAAAGAGACAAGGGCAAUGUUUAAAAAAAAAAAAGAGGCAAAAAAACAGCGACGCCAGAUGUGGU